Molecule: ribosomal RNA, 411 nt
Filed under: Aphis citricidus (brown citrus aphid)
Lineage: Eukaryota; Metazoa; Arthropoda; Insecta; Hemiptera; Aphididae
Description: partial 16S ribosomal RNA
Source: RNAcentral
CACCUGUUUAACAAAAACAUUGUAUUAAGUUUAAUUUAAUAUAGGAUCUGCUCAAUGAUUUAUUAAAUAGCUGCAGUAUUUUGACUGUGCAAAGGUAGCAUAGUAAUUAGUCUUUUAAUUGAGGACUUGUAUGAAAGAUUUGAUGAGAAAUAGACUUUAUUAUUUAUAUAAUUAAAAUUUUAUUUUUAAGUAAAAAAGCUUAAAUUAUUUAAAGGGACGAUAAGACCCUAUAAAACUUUAUAAAUUUAAUCUUAAUUUUUUUGGAUUUAUAAGUAUUUUAUUAUAAAAAUUUAUUUUAUUGGGGUGAUAAAAAAAAUUAAUAAACUUUUUUUAAAUUUAACAUUAUUUAGUGAAUUUUUGAAUUAAAAUUUUUAAUUAAAGGAAAAAGUUACUUUAGGGAUAACAGCGUAA